RNAcentral lists this ribosomal RNA (425 nucleotides) under uncultured bacterium. RNAcentral describes it as "partial 16S ribosomal RNA". It matches the Rfam family "Bacterial small subunit ribosomal RNA", at positions 354 to 796 of the family's 1533-position model. The record is from RNAcentral.
GUGGGGAAUAUUGGGCAAUGGGCGAAAGCCUGACCCAGCAACGCCGCGUGAAGGAAGAAGGUUUUCGGAUCGUAAACUUCUAUCCUUGGUGAAGAUAAUGACGGUAGCCAAGAAGGAAGCCCCGGCUAACUACGUGCCAGCAGCCGCGGUAAUACGUAGGGGGCAAGCGUUGUCCGGAGUGAUUGGGCGUAAAGGGCGCGUAGGCGGCCCGGUAAGUCUGAAGUGAAAGUCCUGCUUUUAAGGUGGGAAUUGCUUUGGAUACUGUCGGGCUUGAGUGCAGGAGAGGUAAGCGGAAUUCCCGGUGUAGCGGUGAAAUGCGUAGAGAUCGGGAGGAACACCAGUGGCGAAGGCGGCUUACUGGACUGUAACUGACGCUGAGGCGCGAAAGUGUGGGGAGCAAACAGGAUUAGAUACCCGGGUAGUCC